This 468-nucleotide ribosomal RNA is filed under the name uncultured bacterium. RNAcentral's name for it is "partial 16S ribosomal RNA". The stretch from base 49 to 468 matches the Rfam family "Bacterial small subunit ribosomal RNA", at positions 39 to 507 of the family's 1533-position model. The record is from RNAcentral.
GGGGGGGGGGGGGGGGGGGGGGGGGGGGGGGAGGGGGGAGGGGAGGGCGCGGGGUGUGUGGGGUGGUCGGGGGGCGGACGGGGGAGGAACACGGGAGUAACCUGCGCUGGACUUUGGGGUGGCGUCCGGGAACUGGGGCUAAUAGCGGAUAGGAGCUCCUGCUGCAUGGUGGGGGUUGGAAAGUUUCGGCGGUUGGGGAUGGACUCGCGGCUUAUCAGCUUGUUGGUGGGGUAGUGGCUUACCAAGGCUUUGACGGGUAGCCGGCCUGAGAGGGUGACCGGCCACAUUGGGACUGAGAUACGGCCCAGACUCCUACGGGAGGCAGCAGUGGGGAAUAUUGCACAAUGGGCGGAAGCCUGAUGCAGCAACGCCGCGUGCGGGAUGACGGCCUUCGGGUUGUAAACCGCUUUCGCCUGUGACGAAGCGUGAGUGACGGUAAUGGGUAAAGAAGCACCGGCUAACUACGUG